CCCAUGGUUUUUCUACUUGUCUUCUA
RNAcentral lists this non-coding RNA (26 nucleotides) under Mus musculus (house mouse). The record is from RNAcentral. Lineage: Eukaryota; Metazoa; Chordata; Mammalia; Rodentia; Muridae.